GAUGAACGCUGGCGGCGUGCCUAAUACAUGCAAGUCGAACUUGAUUUUCGGAUUGAGUGGCGAACGGGUGAGUAAGACAUAGGUAACCUGGCUUAUAGAGGGGGAUAACCACUGGAAACGGUGGAUAAUACCACAUGAAUAUAUCGAAGGCAUCUUGGAUAUAUAAAAGGAGCUAAGGCUUCGCUAUAAGAUGGGCUUAUGACGCAUUAGCUAGUUGGUGAGGUAAAAGCUUACCAAGGCGACGAUGCGUAGCCGGACUGAGAGGUUGAACGGCCACACUGGGACUGAGACACGGUCCAGACUCCUACGGGAGGCAGCAGUGGGGAAUAUUGGACAAUGGGCGAAAGCCUGAUCCAGCCAUGCCGCAUGAGUGAAGAAGGCCUUUGGGUUGUAAAGCUCUUUUAGUGAGGAAGAUAAUGACGGUACUCACAGAAGAAGUCCUGGCUAACUCCGUGCCAGCAGCCGCCGCCGUAACAC
This 477-nucleotide ribosomal RNA is filed under the name uncultured bacterium. Its description in RNAcentral is "partial 16S ribosomal RNA". It matches the Rfam family "Bacterial small subunit ribosomal RNA", at positions 28 to 526 of the family's 1533-position model. The record is from RNAcentral.